This 5265-nucleotide long non-coding RNA is filed under the name Homo sapiens (human). Its description in RNAcentral is "HSALNT0260077". Lineage: Eukaryota; Metazoa; Chordata; Mammalia; Primates; Hominidae. The record is from RNAcentral.
CCUUUCACCAACUUUGACUGAAAUGAAUAGGUUACAACCUUUAGCUUUCUGCCCCUUGGAAAACGGAAGCAUUUAGACAUCCGUAUUAAUAUUUGGAUCUAGAGUGUUCGUGUUUUAGCACUUCCUUUUUUGAAAGGAGAAGCAGACGUGUUGUGUUUUUAGGAACACUUCCAAGAAGUUUCUCCUCCUCUAUGAUGAAACCAACACAAGAAAGCCAAAAGGGCGUUUAACCCCUUGAAGCACUGAGAGUUUCCCUGCUGAUAUUCUUAGACUGUUCUUUUUCUAAAACGAGAAAGAGGUAAGUUCUCUUUUUUUUUUUACACUGCCCAAAACUCUCUCUGCUCAGUGCUGGGCACUGGAAAACAAUGGCCCUCUCUCUGGAAACCACUAUCUGCCAUCUCAAGGGCCCACUACAGGUCUGCCCAGCAUUUUCAUCCCUUCCUCAAGUCUGGUGCCCAGGACCCUCCUCUGCUCUGACAGCCAGGCAGCAGCACUCAAACUCCCCUCCCCUCUUAGCCUUCAUACCUUCAGCUGCACUUCUGCCUCUGCAGUGUCAGGAUGACCUCCCCUUCCUCCUGUCCUUCCUCAUUCUUAAGACUUCCUACCCCUUCUGGAUUAAUUUAUGGAAAACCUAAAUAAUCUCUUUCAAAUUUUAGCCCACUUUUUACAUGUAGAUUGUUUUAUAAGAUGAAUUUUAACAAACCUUUUCUAAGUUGUUCAACCAUUUUCUUUUGUCUUUUUGUUAUUUUAUUUCCUGAAUUUAAAAUAUUUGAAAACCUCUAAACUUGACAAAACUAAUUUUUUCAUAAAAGCUAUGUUCUCAUGUCCUUUUAUAAACUUUGACUUAAAAUAUAUUUUACUUGUUCAGUCAGAUUUGUGUGUGAAAAUUUUUAAGUAGCUUUAGAUACAAAUAUUAAUUAUAAUGGUAACUCUUAAGUAUGCAUUUUUAGUAAACCACUUAGGAGACAACCAAUUUUAAUUAUGUCCUUGAUGUAGAGCUUAAAGAAAAAGAUGGAGCUGUAGAAAACAUCUUAGUCUUGAAAUAUCUUACUCUUCCCAGUAUAAGGGGGGGCAUGGCCCUAUUUCACAGGUGCCCAGGCCUUAGCUAGAAAUGGAUGGUUCCAAGACAUGUCAAAAAACUGUUUGAAAGGUUUUAGAAGUUGUUAAUGACAUGAAAAUAUUUAGUAAAGGCAGUAUUUGAUCUGUCUAAUUUGGAUCCAAUAUCUAAACUCUGAAGACAUAUUUAUUUUAUUUUGCUAAUUUUAAAAGUGGCUUUAUUUUUUAAAAUAAUGUUUAUGUUUCUUUCAAUAGUGUGUGGAAUAUAUGUGGUUUUUGGUUAUGUGGAUAAAAGUUCCUUAGUGGUAAUUUCUGAGAUUUUGAGGCAUCUGUCUCCUGAGCAGUGUAUAAUAUACCCAAUAUGUCAUCAUUUAUUCCUCAUCCCCCUCCCAACCUUUCCCCGAGUCCCCAAGUCCAUUAUAUCAUUCUUAUGCCUUUGCAUUCUCAUAGCUUAACUCUCAUUUAAAAGUGAAAACAUUCAAUAUUUGAUUUGCCAUUCCUCAGUUACUUCACUUAGAAUAAUGGCUUCCAGUUCCAUCCAACUUGUUGCAAAGGACAUUAUUUUGUUCCUUUUUAUUAUCAAGUAUUAUUCCAUGGUGUACCACAUUUGCUUUAUCCACUCGUUCGUUGAUGGGCACUUAAGUUGGUCCCAUAUCACUGCAAUUGCGAAUCGGCUGCUAUAAACAUCCAUAUUCUUGUGUCUUUUUUAUGGAAUAACUUCUUUUCCUUUGGGUAGAUAGCCAGUAAUGGGAUUGCUGGAAUGAAUGGUCUACUUUUAGUUCUUUAAGGAAUCCCCAUACUGUUUACCAUAGUGGUCGGACUAGUUUAAAUUCCCACUAGCAGUGUCAAAGUGCUCCCUUUUGACCACAUCUAUGCCAACAUCUAUUGUUUUCUGACUUUUAAAUUAUGGGCUUCUAGCAAGAUUAAGAUAGCAUCUCAUUGUGGUUUUGUUGUGGGAUUUAGGAGGAUGAGAGAGAGGCUUUGGGUUAAAACAGGAGAAUCUUUUAUUGAGUGCUCUCAGGCCCAGCAGACUCACGUCCAAAGACAGGGCCUGGAACAAAGACAGCACUUGACUUUUAUACACACUUCACAAAAGGGGGUGGGCCAGCUUGAAGCAAGCUUACAGUGGUGUGAAAGCAGGGAUACAGAGGCAGGAAAAAGACAGUUAAUCAAAUUGUAACAGGUUCAUAACUCAGGAUUGCACAUAACUGUUGCUAUGCAACCCAGAUGUCUAUUAUCUAGGUUUUGCUCUAAAGAGGCUUGCAUUGGUUUAUCUUCACUAUGGUGCCUAGAGAGCUGUAGUUCAGGCCUGCUCAGGCUUCUCAUGACCUUUGCCAUACUUCUUAGAUAAAACAGAAUACUUGAAGUUACUAGUUAAAGAGAACAAGAAUCUAUAAACUCAUACCAUAAAACAAAGGAAAAUUUGUUUUUCUUCUCCCUACAUUGAAGGAGUGCUGGAAGAGUCUCCAGAAUACAAUAAAUAAUAUUAUCAAGACUUUUCCUGGGUCUGGGCUGUGCCUGUUGCUGCCUCUGGGACAAGUUAGCUUAAUACAAGAAAGCUUAUUUCCCUUUCUUUUUAAUUUUAUUUUUCUUUAAUUUCCCACCUCAGUUUUACUUUGCAUUUCCCUGAGAAUUUUUAAUAAGUAAAAUACUUAGAAAUAUACUUAACCAAGUAGGUUAAUGUAAGUUUCCUACAAGGAAAACUACAAAAUAGUGCUGAAAGAAAUCACAGUUGACACAAACAAAUGGGAACACAUUAUAAGCUUAUGAAUAGGUAGAAUCAAUAUUGUGAAAGUGACCAUACUCUCCAAAGCCAUCUACAGAGCAGUAGAAUUCUCAUCAAAAUAUCAUCAUUCUCCUUCCCAGAACUAGAAAAAAGAAUCCUAAAAUUUAUACAAAACCAAAAACGUGACCGCAUAUCCAAAGCAAUACUUUGCAAAAAGAACAAAUCUGAAGGCAGGCUUUAAAUUAUACUACAAGGCUACAAUCACCAAAAUAGCAUGAUACUGGUAUAAAAUAUGCACAUAGAGCAAUAGAACAGAAUAGAGAACCCAGAAAUAAAGCCAAAUGCUUACAGACAACUAAUCUUCAACAAAGUACACAAAAACAUUAAUUGGGGAAAGGAUACUUUAUUCAAUAAAUGGUGCAGGAAGUAUAAAAAUAGGCACAUAGAGCAAUGGAACAGAAUAGAGAACCCAGAAAUAAAGCCAAAUGCUUACAGACAACUAAUCUUCAACAAAGUAUGCAAAAACACUAAUUGGGGAAAGGACACUUUAUUCAAUAAAUGGUGCAGGAAGUAUAAAAAUAGGCACAUAGAGCAAUGGAACAGAAUAGAGAACCGAGAAACAAAGCCCGGUACUUUCAGUCACCUGAUCUUUAACAAAGCAUAUAAAAACUUCCAUCUAAGACCUGAAAGUCUAAAAAUGCUACAAGAUAGCAUCCAAAAAGCUUUUCUAGACAUUGGCUUAGGCCAAGUAGUCAUGACUAAUGCCCCAAAAGCAAACGCAAAAAUAUAAAAAUAGAAUAAGAUCAAUAGGACCUAAUGAAACCGAAAAUCUUCUGCAAGGCAGAAGAAAUAUCAGCAGGGUAAACACACAACCCACAGUAUAGGAAACAGUAGUCACAAACUAGGCAUCUGACAAAGGACUAAUGUCCAGACUCCAAAGGAACUGAAAGAAAUCAGCAAGAAGAAAAGGUGCCAUUUACCACCUUCCUGACUCAUUGGCCAGAACCAAUGUUAGUGGAAUUAACAUAUGCCCCACCCCAAGUGACUUCUAAAGGGCUAACUCACCACAAGGGAGUCAGAGCAGAUCUUGGACUGAGACCUACAGGACACAGGUACUGCUUUUUCUCUUUUAUUUGUUUUAAAUUUUAUUUAUGUUUUUAGAUCAAAUAGUUCAGAUUGCAUUGGUUUUUAAUCUGCUGUUGUUGGAUUAACAUAUGCUUUAAGCGACUCUUAAAUAGGUGGCUCACCAGGAGAAAGGCAUAGCAGAACCUGGACUGAGACCUACGGGAGACAGGUGCUGCCAUGGGGUUGUAGCCCCACAACUUGCCAGUCUGUAUGCUUCCCUAGAGGUUUGAGCAGCGGAGUACUAAAGAAGCAAGCCACACCCCCACUCCACCUCCUGUGAGGGGGACAAGGAAACUUUUCCCAUUUCAACUGGUGGCUCGUCUGGGAUCUCGGAAGAUCAUCCUGGCCUGCUAAGACCCAUCCUGUGCUUAUAAAAACCCCAAGACCCUAGCAGUCAGACACACAGGAGGCUUGACGUCGAGAGGAGCACAUCAGCGGAGGAACACACAGGCGGCUGGACAUGAAGAGGAACAUGACAACAGGCACCAGCACACCAGCAGGGCACCGACUUAUAGAACGAUGUGGAUUUUGCCUGGGGCAGUCAGAGGAGAGCCAGGGCUGCUGAACGGCCCCAAUCCAGGGAGAAACCAAUCUCCUUUCUGGCUCCCCCAUCUGCUGAGAGCUACUUCCACUCAAUAAAACCUUGCACUCAUUCUCCACGUCCACGUGUGACCUGAUUCUUCUGGAAUGCCAAGGCAAGAACCCUAGGAUACAGAAAGCCCUCUGUCCUUGUGAUAAGGAAUGUGUCUAAUUGAGCUAGUUACCACAAGUUGCCUAUAAAUGGCAAAACUAAAAGACCACACGACCACUGGGGCUUCAGGAACUGUAAACAUCCACCCCUACACACUGCCAGUAUGAGAAAAAUUUGCUGAUAUGUUUUCUGCUGACCUGAUGACAAUGUUCCUAUGGUCACACUAACCACUGCUGGGUAAUUUUCAUCAUGACUCUCGUUUUCAUCUGCUGAAACCAGCCUCCCCAAGAAAGACAACUAUUUUCAAACUGAGGAAAUAAAGUGUUACUAAACCACAGUGUUCUCUCAUGGCUGUUCCUGGAGUUCUUCAAAACACUUGAUAUUAUAAAAUAGAAUUAUUACAGAUCACUGUAUGUUAUGGAUUUAGUCAAAAUGAUAAUUUAAAAUAUGGUUUAAAAUAAAAAACUUUAUUUUCCAAAGAAGAUAGUUUUUUAAACAAGAAUAUCCAAUAAAGACAGUAUGAGGUCAGCUGACUUUAGUGUUGGUGUAUGUGUAUGUGUGUGUGUGUUUAUAGUUUAAAAGGUAAACAAAAAUGCUUUAUUAUUUAAUAUUACGCAAAACUUUUGUUUAAAGGAGAAAAUCAAAUUUUAUUUUUGUUGAAGUUAAU